RNAcentral lists this long non-coding RNA (1663 nucleotides) under Brachypodium distachyon (stiff brome). RNAcentral's name for it is "long non-coding RNA (BDIS_LNC001747)". The record is from RNAcentral. Lineage: Eukaryota; Viridiplantae; Streptophyta; Magnoliopsida; Poales; Poaceae.
CAAUCCCGGUGUUACGUCAACAAAAUAUGUCCGCCAAACACCAUUUUUGUUGAUUAGGGGGCUUAAUUGACCAGGAUCAGUAAGGUCAGGGUCUGAAAUUCAGGGAUUCAAAGGUUAAGAUCUAAUUCAGACUUUGUCUACAAGUUUAGGGUUGAAAAUAGACUUUUCUCUAUAUGUAAUAAGCAAAUUUUGCUCUUGGCAGUUGACACGAGAAAAUCCUAGUCGGAUUCGGCCGCCUAUUUUGAUUUGCACGACACUUCCCUUUCGGCGAAGAGAUGAAGCGUUAAAACAGAACACAAUAAUACGCCAUCAGUGUUAAUAUCUUUAGCCAUGAUCUUCGCCCAUCGGACCGACCGACACCCUUCCUUGUUUGUUCACAGUACCGAGUAUUUUUCUUUUACGCGUCUAGGUAGUGGCCGAUGGCCCAAUAAGCCGACUGAGCGCACGCAGGUGAGCUGGCCAGGAGUUUGCCCGAGCGAUGCAGGUGGGCAUGUCUGUUCACGUGCUUGUUCGCUACUGUUUUUCUUUUUUUUCCUUACAAUAGAAUACGUUGCAUGUAGUACAGCAGGUACGUAAGUGCAUUUGGUUCUGAUUUUUUUUUCAGAUGUCGUAACUUUCAAAGCGAGACUCGAAAUUAUGAUCCGUUUUCACUGUUAUCUCUUUCGCGACGAGAUCUUCAAAACUAGAUCUAUUUUGAUCAAUAUUUUACAAAAACAACUUUAGUGUGUCAGGUGACAACUUCUUUUAAGAUGACAAUUUUGGCUCUUAUACUGGAAACUUUUUGGCUCAUACACUAGCAACUUUGGAUGUCAUACUGGCAACUUUUUGACUCAUAUACUAACAACUUUGGAUGUUAUACUAGCAACUUUUUGACUCAUAUACUAACAACUUUGGAUCCGACACUAGCAACUUCGGAUACAUUACUGGCAACUUUGGCUCUCAUUCUAGAAACUUUGGUUCAGAUACCAACAUUAGUUUUUACUCCACUAUAGCAACUUCCACUCCAUGGUAGAUAAAUUUGACUCUCAUACUAGCAAAAUUUUCUCCAAUAUUGACAACUUUGAUCACAUAAUAACAACUUUGUCGUUCAUACUAACAACUUUUGCUCCAACCCGGUAGCAGUUUUUGCUCUUCUCUAAAAUACCAAACUUUGGCUUUCAUGCUAACAACUUUGCUGCAACUCAGUAGCAGUUUUUGCUCCAUUCUAGUAAUUUUCACUCAAUCACAAACAACUUGGGUGUUCCCGGUGGCAAUUCCCGCUAAUGUGCUGGCAACUUUGCCCUCUCUGCUGGCAACUUUGACUCGUGUACUAACAACUUUGGCUUGCAUACUAGCAUUUUGGCUCCCAUGCCUGCAACUUUGGUUCUCAUAUCAAUAUCGUUGGUUUGCUCCAGUAUAGCAACUUCCACGUACUCCAUCGCUUUUGGUGUGUCUGGUCGCAACUUUUGCUGAUGUGUGGCAAUAUUUUCUUUUAUGUUGGCAAUUUUUGUAUUGAAGCUAGCAAUUGUCUUAUAUUUUCGCAACAUUUUCUUUAGCAACUAACUAUGCAUGUUUAGGAACUUUACAUUCUCAAAAAUCUGCCUAAUGAUAUGCAUGGCAAAGCAACUUUUAAUCCAAGUUUUUUUAGAGCAAGCAUCUUUUAAUAAUCAAAUAGUAAGCAACU